This 2593-nucleotide long non-coding RNA is filed under the name Marmota monax (woodchuck). Lineage: Eukaryota; Metazoa; Chordata; Mammalia; Rodentia; Sciuridae. The record is from RNAcentral.
CCAUUAGAAGAUACAGGGCAGAACGGAUUCAUCUGUGAAAUUCUUCUAAGGGGAAAAAAGAGAGGGUGAGGGAGAUCAAUAAUGCCAUGUUGUAUUUUUAGCGAUGGGCAGCCAGAAUAGCACACAACCCUUCACCGAAAAGGAAAGGUAUGUGUAUUCCCUGGGGCUGGAAAGUUGUUAGACAUUAAUAGAAAGAAAAUUGUUAGGAAGCUGACAAGAGGUAAAGGAAAUGUCCUUGCUUUCUCCCCUGCAAAAACCUUGUAGGAGGAAAUAUGGGUGAGAACACAGGCUUGAAAAUUGAAGGAGAUUUGGGAUGGGAGGGGGACUACAGUGGGGAGGAGAAUGAGAAUGUUAAAAUAAAAAAGCAAUAGGAAAUGGAAGAAUUUCAGGGUAAACAGGCAAAUAAGCUUAGUUAUGGCAAGAAAAACAGGGUGGUUAAUUAACAAGGGGGAUAAAAAUGGCCUGCAGAUAAUAUUUAUCAUCCCUCCCAGUUUUCCUGUGGCUUUAUUUGUGCCCAUCUGUCAGCUCAAUCUUUUCCAAGUGUCUGCUGCCUCAUAUACAGGCCAUUAAUUUAUUGAAAUAUUACUGGAAUUAGAUUGCUUCUGACUUUCCUGUUGUAUUGUUUUUAACUUUUUUUAAAAAUUCGUAUUUAUUUGUUUGCCUCUUGGUGUUUAAAUUUGGCAAGUGAUGUCUGAGCUGGAAACAGUCUUCCCAGUCUGUGGCAGAAAGAAAAUAGAGGACUCUUUUCCAUGGAGAAGCACAGCCAUCUACACUUGCAAACCACUUUUGCCAAAUGUCUUUGUACAUGUAUCCCUCUUCCCCUGAAGUGAGAAAUCUAAACCUGAAACAUUCUGACCAGAACAAAGAAAGCCAUUGCAAUGCUGUAUUUAUGUGCCAUAGCAAAGAACAGGGCUAAAUGGAUCAUCCUUAUUAUGAACACAUCCAGGUUAGAUUUAAAAAACAACUCAAGAGAAUCCACUAAGAAAUAAGAAGGUAAUGAAUUCAAAUUAUACUGAUCUUAAUUUUGAAAACAGGGACAAAGAGCCUUCCUGUCAAGUCAGUCACUGGCUGGUAGGAGUCUGAUUUUAGCCAGUGACCACCAAAGAAGAUAAUUCUGACAUUUUUGAUACCGCUGUUGACCGGUGACGAGUCCUUGCUUCCCCAAUGUUGAAGAAUAACACCAAAGAAGCACGCCGAGGCAAGGUCAGAGUGGAAAUUAGAAGUUUAUUAAAGGACAGCAGAAAAGACUUCUCCCGGAGGAAGAAGGGGACCCAAGAGGUGGAAUCCCUGGAAGGGAUGUUGUCUCCCCUUUUUAUAGUUCUUUCAGUGAUGGAAUGUAGGUGGGAAGGACCGAGGGGUGGGACACAGGUGGGCCAAAGAAGUAAUCUGGUCAGGAAGGACUUCUGAGUCAGCACCUUUUUGCUGGGGGCUGUUCAUUAACAUUUCUUUGAGGUGGACUUUGGCCUAGGGCCUUUUCGGGACUUCCAUGAGUUGUCCUGUGUUUUCCAGGAGUCAUUCUCCGCAUGGUCUCCAUUUUAGAUUUCACUCAAUAUUAGACCCGAUUUAUCUAACUACACUGACUACCUAACUUUAAAUCUGGCUUCAUUUUUAAUGUCACAUAAUGUUUUUAAUCAGCAAUUGCAUGCAGAAACAAUUCAGCAAAGGCCUGAAGCCUGAUUUGAUGGCUUCAGCUUCCCAAGACCCCCCCCCCCAAAGAGCAGACAGGCCACCCAAAUCCUCCACUUGUCAAACCAGCUCCUGCCUCAGGAGGGAUUUGUGAGGCUUCACUUCAAGGACUACCACCCAGGCUGGUUGGCUGAAAACGUGAGCUGCCUAUUAUUUCUCCUUCAUUUCCCAGGAUGUCUGGGUGAGAGAGUUCCGCACCUCCUGAUGGGCACAAGUCCCAGCCUUCUGACAUUUCCUUCUCACACUGAGCAACUUUUUAACCAGAGACUCCCAGCUGCUCCUCGCCCCCCCCCACCCCCAGCUCACUGGUUGGCAGUCUCGUGUGCAAGACAGAUGGGGAGAGCGGGAAGGAGGGGGGGGAGAACCAAGCCGCUUUGGGAGGCUUGGUUUGCCUAUAAACAAAAACUGGAGGGGGAGGAGUUUUAAAAGUUAAAUGAUAGAAGACAAAACAAUUAGUUUCCACAAAAUAAAUUAGAAUACAAGGGAUGGAUUACCUGCAUCUCAGAGAGAGCAAAAUCUCCAGGAUAUAGAAAGAACUCAAAAAACUUAACACCAAAACAAACAACAACAACAAAAAAACAAAUAACCCAAUCAGUAAAUGGGCAAAGGAACUGAAGAGACACUUCACAGAAGAUGAUAUACAACUGGUCAACAAAUAGAUUAAAAAAAAAAUGUUCAACAUGUCUUGCAAUUAGAGAAAUGCAAAUUAAAACUAUACUGAGACUCCAACUCACUCCAAACAGAAUGGCAAUUAUCUUUUGUGUGUACAUGGUGCUGGGGAUUGAACCCAGGGCUUUGUGCAUAUGAGGCAAGGACUCUACCAACUGAGCUAUAUCCCUAGCCCCAGAAUGGCAAUUAUCAAGAAUAAAGUAACAAUAAAUGUUGGUGAGGAUGUGGGGGUGUUAUG